GGGACCAGACGCAAGAUUCAGAGAAAGAAAUUUGAAAGAAAGUAAAGAUGUACUGUCCAUUUUGUGGAACUGCCGCCAUAAAUUCUGCAGACUUUUGUCGUCAAUGUGGCAGAAACAUAAAAUUUGUCCAAGAUCAUGCAAACAAAGCCCAAGAUGAGAGGGACACUACCACUGCAACUCCCGAUGUUCAACCAAGCACCAGCACAGAUUAAUGUUGGGCUUAUGAGGAUGCAGGGAGAUUCCCUUAAGACAGUGAGAGGGAAGUCACUUCCAGUUGAGAUUCACCCUGAUGGGCAUCGGAACAAGUGCUUGCUGCUGCUGUAAAGAAGCAAAAGGAUUUCAAUAUAGACCUGAGAGAUUGUGCUCAUGUCUUGUUGUAUCCUGAUGCAAGGGAGGUUAAGAACAUCCCAGGAACAGACAUUCCUUUCAUAGUGCAAAAGUACAAGGAGGCAAUUGGAAAGCCUUACCAAAGACUUACGCUUUACAUUUGCCCUGUUGAGGACUUUGCAAACAGCUGUAAGUGCUUUUGAUCUGCAUUCCAAAUAGUUUGAAGAUCAAUUUUGCUAUAGUCUUAUAGUUAAAAUGGCAAAAUUUCCUCCUAUAUCCAGAAUUCUGUACAAGAUUAAUUCAAGCUAUGAUGUAGUAUAUUUUAAUUGUACUGUAAGGAAGCAAAAUGAUUUUCCUCUUUACAAAACCUACCUCCCAUUUGUAAAGAAUGAUGUACAAGCGUACAUUUUCUUAAUUGCAAAAUAUAGCCUUGCAAAAGAAAAUGUAUUAUUAUUUAUAGUACACAUUUAUAAUAUAUUUCUUUUCACUGGUUGUUGAAAUGAUAGUAACCAUUUUCCUUUGGUUAAUAUCAACCAACAAAAUUGUGUGGUUCAUAGUAAUAUAAGACUUACUGUCUUCAAAUAACUUCUAAAAGAUAUACAGAAAUCUGCUGCGCAGUUGGUAGCAUUGUUGCCUUGCAGCAAGAAGGUCUUGGUUUCAAUUCCUGGUCGAGUCUUUCUGUAAGGAGUUUGCAUGUUCUCCCUGUGCAUGGUGGGUUCUGUCCGGGUGCUCUGGGACAAGGGUAUAAGAAAAUGGAUGGAUGGAUAAAGAAAUCUGAAUAUACUGUGCUGCUAAAAUAAAGUGUGGCUUGUUAAACCAAAAGUACUUCAUGAAUACUUGCCAACGUGGGACCACUUUUUUUAGUAACGAGUAAUCAAACGCGUUGCUAUUUCAAAUCCAGUAGCCAUAUUAAAGUUACUUAUCCAAAUCACUGUGCAUUGCU
Molecule: non-coding RNA, 1270 nt
Organism: Poecilia reticulata (guppy)
Lineage: Eukaryota; Metazoa; Chordata; Actinopteri; Cyprinodontiformes; Poeciliidae
Source: RefSeq, a predicted model, not a curated record